This is a long non-coding RNA of Dunckerocampus dactyliophorus (ringed pipefish), 709 nucleotides long. RefSeq lists it as uncharacterized. The transcript has 4 exons. NCBI's taxonomy places the organism in Eukaryota, Metazoa, Chordata, Actinopteri, Syngnathiformes, Syngnathidae. The record is from RefSeq and is a predicted model, not a curated record.
UACAGUCAGUCCCCUUGUACACUGGAUGACUUGUGGUCCAAGACCAGACUUGAAAGCAGUGUUGAAGUCAAUCGGCCUACCUUGAAACGGGCUUCAUUUUCACUGCCCAGUUUAAUCCCCUGCAAGGACAUGCAGUAUUAAAGCACACUGGCCUAAAUAUGCUGUGAAAUCAAAAUAAAGUGUUGACUCUUCACUCGCGUAUCUCACCUAUCAUAUAGCUUAUUCCGUAGAGCUCAGCGGAUAAGAAUGUCAAGGAGACCGAGAAGGCAAUAAAGAAGAGAGGAAGUCCAGCAUCAUAGAGACUUUGGUCCAGAUGCCAAAGAGAAAAGACAUUCUUGAAGGUUGAUGUGGACUUUGAGAACUAAUCUGCCUGCAGAACGUGAUUCAGAACAAGAUGCAGACAUCUGCUGGAGAAGAGCGUGCCAUAAAGAGAGGGACGGCGUCUCACCACUGGAGCUCACAUUGUGUCGUGUGGUGAAAAAGCAAACUCCAUGAAAAUGGCGGCCCAUCAUGAGGUGGAAAUGGAGUGUAAGGAGGUCGGGUUGACCUGAUGUUGCUAUGCUGUGAUCCCUGUCGUGAGAACGGGAAGUGUUCAAAAGCAGGUGCACUGCACCUCGAGGUCGAGGCCAGGAGGUGGGGGACCCGGUGGGCACUGGAGCUGAGGAGAUUCGCCAGGCUCCAGUCGCCUCCGCCCGUCACCGACACACAU